AGGCUCUGUUUCCUGGGAUGUGGGCUCAGCCUACCCCACAUCCCCUCAGCAGAGCCUAGAAUAAAGGGGCCAGGCCUCCUCCCUCAUGGGAGGGGUGUUUGAGGAAGGAGCCUCUCCCAGGCUAGCCUGGCCUCACAUUU
Non-coding RNA from Cricetulus griseus (Chinese hamster), 140 nucleotides. Ensembl annotates it as small Cajal body-specific RNA 21. Lineage: Eukaryota; Metazoa; Chordata; Mammalia; Rodentia; Cricetidae. The record is from Ensembl.